CGCCCGUCGCUCCAUCCGAGUGUGCUAAAAAUGAGGCACGGUCAGUCUGGUCGUGUCGAGUUUCUAGUAUGCGAGGAGGGAGAAGUCGUAACAAGGUAGCCGUAGGGGAACCUGCGGCUGGAUCACCUCCUAU
This 133-nucleotide ribosomal RNA is filed under the name Promethearchaeota archaeon. Its description in RNAcentral is "Candidatus Lokiarchaeota archaeon (microbial mat metagenome) partial 16S ribosomal RNA". It matches the Rfam family "Archaeal small subunit ribosomal RNA", at positions 1347 to 1478 of the family's 1478-position model. Lineage: Archaea; Promethearchaeati; Promethearchaeota. The record is from RNAcentral.